RNAcentral lists this unclassified non-coding RNA (248 nucleotides) under uncultured fungus. RNAcentral describes it as "sequence contains ITS1, 5.8S rRNA gene". The stretch from base 200 to 248 matches the Rfam family "5.8S ribosomal RNA", at positions 1 to 49 of the family's 154-position model. The record is from RNAcentral. Lineage: Eukaryota; Fungi.
UUUCCGUAGGUGAACCUGCGGAAGGAUCAUUACCGAGUUUGGGGGAAACCUCAACUCCCACCCUUGUUUACCGCAUGUUGCUUCGGCGAGACGUUGGAAGCAACCGCCGGCGAUUCGAUCAACGAUGACCCGACGCGUGCUCGCCGGACUCCAAAUACUCUAGACUAUGUAACGUCAGAUGAAACAAGCAAUAUAUAAAAACUUUCAACAACGGAUCUCUUGGUUUUGGCAUCGAUGAAGAACGCAGC